CGCAAAACGGCUCGAGACGCACACGCCCCGACCGACGGCGAGACAGAUUCUCCGUCUCCAUUCCCCCACAGCAGCCAGCCAUGGAGAGAAAUGGCGGGAAGCAGCAGCAGCAGCAGCAGCUGGAGACGGCGGCGCCGGCGCCGGCGCCGAGGAAGGGUGCGUGGCGGGACGGCGCCGUCACCUACUUCCACCUCCUCUUCUACAUCGCCAUCUCCGGCGGCCAGAUCUUCUUCAACAAGUGGGUGCUAUCCUCAAAAGAGAUCAACUUCCCCUAUCCAGUGGCACUAACUUUGCUGCAUAUGCUCUUCUCAUCUGUAGUAUGCUUUGCAGCUACAAAGAUUUUCAAGGUCAUAAAGAUUGAUGAAGGAAUGACUACAGAUGUGUGAGUCUUGGAUAAUACAAAAUUCAUAAGGCUGUAUUGUAGUUUCUUACUCUCUCAAUUGUUCUCUGUCAGUAUAUUAUGUUCCAUGACGUAUCACCUCAUGAUUAAGACAUCCAUAAUGCCUGCCUCUCCAUGUAUGAACCGAUAAGAAUAAUUUGUGGAUUUUCCAUAACAUUAGCAUAUUCUAGCAUGUCUACGUAAGAUGCUGCACAAACACCACCCCUUCAUUUUAAAUAGCGAGGUUGGUUUUCAUCAGGCUAUAUGUGGAUAGCAAGUACAGUAACAGGGGGCUCUGCUCUUUGUUGUGUAAGUACAUUAGCCUGCUUUAGCUGUCAGGAUUAGUGAGCGAGUUUUACCAUAUUGUUAAGACUGUGACUUAGGAGGAAACCGAUAAGAAAAUGCCAAGUCAGAGGCUUAAAAGUCUAGCAUGAUGGUCAUCAGUAGAUAUUUUCGUUAAUUAAAUUUGCAUCUAGCACACACUAAGAAGCUCUGCACUAUUCCUGUCAUAAGUCAUACUCGAUACCACUCUUCGUGAGAAGAAAUAUGCUGGUCUUUUUCUGAAGCACGGACCUGCAGCCGUUAUUGCUUUCCCAUCCUGUAUUAGAUUCUUUGUUCAAUUCAUAAUAAAGUACUGGGAUUGUAUUAUUUUUCCAACUAGCUCACCUGAAAUUUCAGAUAUGUGAGUUCAGUCAUUCCAAUUGGAGCAAUGUUUGCAAUGACACUUUGGCUAGGGAACAGUGCAUACCUCUACAUAUCUGUUGCAUUUGCACAGAUGUUGAAGGCAAUAAUGCCUGUAGCCGUGUUUCUCCUUGGAACAGCAUUUGGCCUUGAAGAAAUGAACUGUAAAAUGCUUGCUAUCAUGUCUAUCAUCAGCGUGGGAGUUAUUGUGGCCUCUGUUGGUGAAAUUACAAUCAGCUGGGUCGGAGUGGUGUAUCAGAUGGGUGGAGUUGUAGCGGAGGCCCUUAGACUUAUCUUUAUCGAGAUAUUUUUGAAGAAGAAGGGUGUUAGACUGAACUUGAUAUCCAUGAUGUACUAUGUUAGCCCUUGCAGUGCCUUUUGCCUGUUCAUUCCCUGGUUGUUCUUAGAGAAGCCAAAGAUGGAUGCAAGUAUUUCAUGGAACUUCCCACCAGUUACAUUGUUCUUAAACUGCAUGUGCACAUUCGUACUUAAUCUGUCAGUUUUCCUUGUCAUUUCCCGGACAAGUGCACUGACAGCUCGUGUUACUGGAGUUGUGAGAGAUUGGAGUGUGGUGCUGCUGUCAGCUGCUAUUUUUGCUGAUACAAAGCUUACCUUCAUAAACAUAGUUGGCUAUGCCAUAGCCAUAGUAGGUGUUGUUGCAUAUAACAAUCAUAAGCUUAAACCCCAAGUGAACCAGCAGCAGGGUGCUGACAGCAAAGUCAGCCCAGGAAGCCCUCGACAUGUCGAGAUACCAUUGAACUCUACAAAAGAAUCUUCAUAACAUCGAAGGUAGUGGGAUCUUGGACAGAAUUUUUUGGGGGAAGGAGAAUUGAGCUCUUGAUUGUGCUAAGAGUUGUCCAGCUCUCCAUGGAUACAUUCUUCCUACAAAUCAACAGGAAGACCGGAAAUUUUGUACAAUGAUAUGGAAGAUACGGUAGCAUACUGAUUUGUACUAUUGUUGCCCGGAACAGGGCGGGCACAUCAUAAAGGUCAAUUAGGUUAUGUAGAUGUGUUUGUUGUCUUAGAAAUCCAUCAGGUGCUCCCAAAGAUGCAACCUGAUUCUGUUGGUAUACUUCGUUACUUUGGAGGGUCCUGCCAACAAGAUGGACCUUGUAUAUGAAGUAUGUCUGUAUGCACAUUGUACUUCUUCAAAUAUGAAAGAAUACCAUAUGUGAACUUUUUUUUUAGCUU
This 2251-nucleotide ribosomal RNA is filed under the name Triticum aestivum (bread wheat). RNAcentral's name for it is "partial small subunit ribosomal RNA". Lineage: Eukaryota; Viridiplantae; Streptophyta; Magnoliopsida; Poales; Poaceae. The record is from RNAcentral.